GCUGGGAUAGCUCAGCCUGUAGAGCAGGCAACUCUUUAUCUCAGGGUUGUGGGUUUGAGCCCCACGUUGGGCA
Podarcis lilfordi (Lilford's wall lizard) is the source of this 73-nucleotide non-coding RNA. NCBI's taxonomy places the organism in Eukaryota, Metazoa, Chordata, Lepidosauria, Squamata, Lacertidae. The record is from the annotation of a GenBank genome assembly.